Molecule: long non-coding RNA, 358 nt
Filed under: Neogale vison (American mink)
Lineage: Eukaryota; Metazoa; Chordata; Mammalia; Carnivora; Mustelidae
Description: Neovison vison (American mink) lncRNA (ENSNVIG00000002278.1)
Source: RNAcentral
CCCCUCUCUGCCCUCCCAGGCGCCUGCUUGCGUCACCUACCAAGCUCCACAAGCUUCAGCUAAGGAGUCCCCCAGGCCCCCCAUGUGGGAGGGUGAAAACGACAUCUGUGAAGCAAAUGACCGAAGUAUCUCUCUGAGCAAGGAGGCUGUGCACCGAGAUCGCGGGUCAACCAAGGAUGGUCACCGCUCUCCACGUGGAAGCUCUGACCCACCCACCACGGGGCCAGAAUCAAAGGUAAAUAUCACUAUGGACUUGGGAACCAAAACUCAAUAUUCCUGUUUCAAUGAGAGAAAGUGAGAAACCAACGCAACAGAGAGGGGCCAUGAAUAAAUCUCCAAGAACUCCUUGGCGUGGCCA